Molecule: ribosomal RNA, 460 nt
Filed under: uncultured bacterium
Lineage: Bacteria
Description: partial 16S ribosomal RNA
Rfam family: Bacterial small subunit ribosomal RNA
Source: RNAcentral
CCUACGGGAGGCAGCAGUGAGGAAUAUUGGUCAAUGGACGAGAGUCUGAACCAGCCAUGUAGCGUGAAGGAUGACUGCCCUAUGGGUUGUAAACUUCUUUUUUAUGGGAAUAAAAUGUUCCACGUGUGGGAUUCUGUAUUUACCUUAUGAUUAAGGAUCGGCUAACUCCGUGCCAGCAGCCGCGGUAAUACGGAGGAGCCGAGCGUUAUCCGGAUUUAUGGGGUUUAAAGGGAGCGUAGGUGGAUUGUUAAGUAAGUUGGGAAAGUUUGCGGCUAAAGCGUAAAAGUGCAGUUGAGACUGGCAGUCUGGAGUGCAGAUGCGGUGGGCGGAAUGUGUGGUGUAGCGGUGAAAUGCUUAGAUAUCACGAAGAACACCGAUUGCGAAGGCAGCUCACUAAUCUGCAACUGACACUGAGGCUCGAAAGUGUGGGUAUCAAACAGGAUUAGAUACCCUAGUAGUC